GACGAACGCUGGCGGCGUGCUUAACACAUGCAAGUCGAACGCUGAAGCUCAGCUUUUGUUGGGUGGAUGAGUGGCGAACGGGUGAGUAACACGUGAGUAACCUGCCCCCUUCUUUGGGAUAACGCCCGGAAACGGGUGCUAAUACUGGAUAUUCACUGGUCUUCGCAUGGGGGUUGGUGGAAAGGGUUUUUCUGGUGGGGGAUGGGCUCGCGGCCUAUCAGCUUGUUGGUGGGGUGAUGGCCUACCAAGGCUUUGACGGGUAGCCGGCCUGAGAGGGUGACCGGUCACAUUGGGACUGAGAUACGGCCCAGACUCCUACGGGAGGCAGCAGUGGGGAAUAUUGCACAAUGGGCGCAAGCCUGAUGCAGUGACGCCGCGUGAGGGAUGGAGGCCUUCGGGUUGUGAACCUCUUUCGCUCAUGGUCAAGCCGCAACAAUGGUUGUGGUGAGGGUAGUGGGUAAAGAAGCGCCGGCUAACUACGUG
Molecule: ribosomal RNA, 483 nt
Filed under: uncultured bacterium
Lineage: Bacteria
Description: partial 16S ribosomal RNA
Rfam family: Bacterial small subunit ribosomal RNA
Source: RNAcentral